This 305-nucleotide ribosomal RNA is filed under the name uncultured bacterium. RNAcentral describes it as "bacterial SSU rRNA". It matches the Rfam family "Bacterial small subunit ribosomal RNA", at positions 334 to 637 of the family's 1533-position model. The record is from RNAcentral.
GAAUCCUACGGGGGGCAGCAGUGAGGAAUAUUGGUCAAUGGGCGAGAGCCUGAACCAGCCAAGUCGCGUGAGGGAGUACUGCCCUAUGGGUUGUAAACCUCUUUUGUCGGGGAGCAAAAGCCGGACGUGUCCGGCUGUGAGAGUACCCGAAGAAAAAGCAUCGGCUAACUCCGUGCCAGCAGCCGCGGUAAUACGGAGGAUGCGAGCGUUAUCCGGAUUUAUUGGGUUUAAAGGGUGCGUAGGUUGUUUUUUAAGUCAGCGGUGAAAGUUUGUGGCUCAACCAUAAAAUUGCCGUUGAAACUGGA